RNAcentral lists this ribosomal RNA (443 nucleotides) under uncultured bacterium. RNAcentral describes it as "partial 16S ribosomal RNA". It matches the Rfam family "Bacterial small subunit ribosomal RNA", at positions 338 to 795 of the family's 1533-position model. The record is from RNAcentral.
CCUACGGGGGGCAGCAGUGGGGAAUAUUGGGCAAUGGAGGCAACUCUGACCCAGCAACGCCGCGUGAAUGAUGAAGGUCUUCGGAUUGUAAAGUUCUUUUCUAAGGGAAGAAGAAAGUGACGGUACCUUAGGAAUAAGCCUCGGCUAACUACGUGCCAGCAGCCGCGGUAAUACGUAGGAGGCAAGCGUUAUCCGGAAUGACUGGGCGUAAAGGGUGCGUAGGUGGUUUGACAAGUUAGUAGCGCAACUCCGGAGCUCAACUUCGGAACUACUACUAAAACUGUUGGACUUGAGUGCAGGAGGGGCAAUCGGAAUUCCUGGUGUAGCGGUGGAAUGCGUAGAUAUUAGGAGGAACACCAGUGGCGAAGGCGGAUUGCUGGACUGUAACUGACACUGAGGCACGAAAGCGUGGGGAGCAAACAGGAUUAGAUACCCUUGUAGUC